RNAcentral lists this ribosomal RNA (2752 nucleotides) under Chara braunii. RNAcentral describes it as "eukaryotic LSU rRNA". Lineage: Eukaryota; Viridiplantae; Streptophyta; Charophyceae; Charales; Characeae. The record is from RNAcentral.
UCUAUCCUGCCCGUCUUGAAACACGGACCGAGGAGUUCAACUUGCAUGCGAGCCGGUGGGUGAUUAGCCCACGAGGCGGAAGAAACCUGAGUGGUGUGAACUGUCUGCGGGUGCACCGUCCGCCAACCACGAUCUGCUGUGAGAGGUUUGAGUGUGGGCAUGCCCGUUGGGACCCGAAAGAUGGUGAACUAUGCCUGAGCAGGGCGAGGCCAGAGGAAACUCUGGUGGAGGCUCGGAGCGAUACUGAUGUGCAAAUCGUUCGUCGGACUUGGGUAUAGGGGCGAAAGACUAAUCGAACGUUUUAGUAGUUGGUUCCCUCCGAAGUUUCCCUUAGGAUAUCUGGAGCUGUUGAACAGUUUUAUCGGGUAAAGCGAAUGAUUAGAGGCCUCGGGGAUGAAACACCCUCGACCUAUUCUCAAACUUUAAAUAGGUAAGAUUUCGGGGUUGCUUAAGCGAACUUCGAGAAUCAAUGAAAGCUCCAGGUGGGCCAUUUUUGGUGAGCAGAACUGGCGAUGCGGGAUGAACCGAAAGUCGAGCUACGGUGCCAAACUGUGCGCUAACCCAAACACCACAAAGGGUGUUGAUUGAUACCGACAGUAGGACGGUGGUCAUGGAAGUCAAAAUCCGCUAAGGAGUGUGUAACAACUCACCUGCCGAAUCAAUCAGCCUCGAAAAUGGAUGGCGCUGAAGCGCGCGACCUAUGCUCGGUCGUCACGGCAAUUAUGACGCCGCGACGAGUAGGAGGGCGCGGGGCCUGCUGCGAAGCCUGGAGCGUGAGCCUAGGUGAAGCAGGUCCUGGUGCAGAUSUUGGUGGUAGUAGCAAAUAUUCAAAUGAGAACUUUGAAGACCGAAGUGGAGAAGGGUUCCAUGUGAACAGCGCUUGGACAUGGGUAGUCGGCCCUAAGGGAUGUGGAAACCUUGUACCCAUGGCGCAUUGUGCGCCACACAUCGAAAGGGGUCGGGUUAAUAUUCUCGAAUCGGGAUGUGGACGUGGACGGUACGUAAGCAGGUCCGGAGAUGCCGGCGGGGGCCGUGGGGAGGGUUCUCUUUCCUUCUUGACGGCUCGCCCACCCUGGAAUCGGAUCAACCGGAGAUAGGGUGCAGCNGGGGAGGGUUCUCUUUCCUUCUUGACGGCUCGCCCACCCUGGAAUCGGAUCAACCGGAGAUAGGGUGCAGCGCCCGGCAAAGCACCGCGCGUCCUSUGGUGUCCAGCGCGCCCCCGACAGCCCUUGAAAAUCUAGAGAUGCGGGUACCUCUCAUGCCCGGCCGUACUCAUAACCGCAUUAGGUCUCCUAGGUGAGCAGCCUCGGGUCAAAGGAAGAAUGUAGGUAAGGGAAGUCGGCAAUAUGGAUCCGUAACCUUGGGAAAAGGAUUGGCUGUAAGGGCUGGGCCUAGGGGUCUGCGCCUCAAUGUCGUUGGCUGCCGGUGGUCUGCCCGAGCUUCUCUCGCGGCGAGGGCGGAGCCCGCGUGCGAGUGUGCCGACGGGCGUAGAAUGUCUUAUGUCCCCACCUUUCGGGUGSGGCCGUGGGACUCUCCCUAAGCAUCAAACUGCCGACGUAAAACUAGGGCGGACAAGGGGAAUCCGACUGUUUAAUUAAAACAAAGCRUUGCGAUGGUCCCAACGGAUGUUGACGCAAUGUGAUUUCUGCCCAGUGCUCUGGAUGUCAAAGUGAAAAGAUUCAACCAAGGCUUAGCGCGGGUAAGCGGCGGGAGUAACUAUGACUCUCUUAAGGUAGCCAAAUGCCUCGUCAUCUAAUUAGUGAYGCGCAUGAAUGGAUUAACGAGAUUCCCACUGUCCCUAUCUACCAUCCUUUGAAACCACAGCCAAGGGAACGGGCUUGGAAGAAUCGGUGGGGAAAGAAGACCAUGUUGAGCUUGACUCUAGUUCGACUCUGUGAAAUGACUUGAGAGGUGUAGAAUAAGUGGGAGCCUUACGGCGCAAGUGAAAUACCACUACUUUUAACGUUAUUUUACUUAUUUCGUGAGGUGGAGCCGGGGCUCUACCCCUGCUUCUCGAUCCAAGGUGCAGGCCCUCGUGGCCUGUCCGAUCCAAGCGAAAGACAUUGUCAAGUGGGGAGUUUGGCUGGGGCGGCAACAUCUGUUAGAAAAGAACGCAGGUGUCCUAAAAUGAGCUCAACGAGAACAGAAAUCUCGUGUGGAGCAAAAGGGCAAAAGCUCAUUUGAUUUUGAUUUCCAGUACGAAUACAAACUGUGAGAGCAUGGCCUAUCGAUCCUUUAGCGUUUCAGGACUUGRAGCUAGAGGUGUCAGAAAAGUUACCACAGGGAUAACUGGCUUGUGGCAGCCAAGCGUGCAUAGUGACGUUGCUUGUUGAUCCUUCGAUGUCGACUCUUCCUAUCAUUGUGAAGCAGAAUUCACCAAGUGUUGGAUUGUUCACCCACCAACAGGGAACGUGAGCURGGUUUAGACCGUCGUGAGACAGGUUAGGGGUCUCCCCUAUCGGUCUCUCGGCGAUCUUGCCGACUCACCUCGUUGCUUGUUGGGGUGAGCCUUGGAGCUCGACCCUUGCAUCCAUGUGGAUGUGGAGGGCACGGGAGAGCCGUAAAAUGAAAGUGUUUUAGGACUAGUUCUUGUUCAACGUGCGAAAGGACUUGCUGUCAAGGUUUAGGGUGAAAGUAGCAAAUAUGUUGAGAUCAAGUCCCACCCCUUCUGCAAUGGAAGGGGAAGAAAGGACUUGCUCUCAAGGAUUAGGGUGGAAGUAGCAAGCGACAACAAGUCCUAACCCCUCCGUCC